GCGUUCGCUUGAGCACCACAUAUACUAAAACUGGAAUACAGAGAAAAUUAGCAUGAUCCCUGCACAAGGAUGACACAGAAAUUUGUAAAGCAUUCCAUAUUUUA
This 104-nucleotide small nuclear RNA is filed under the name Catagonus wagneri (Chacoan peccary). The record is from RNAcentral. Lineage: Eukaryota; Metazoa; Chordata; Mammalia; Artiodactyla; Tayassuidae.